This 301-nucleotide ribosomal RNA is filed under the name uncultured bacterium. Its description in RNAcentral is "partial 16S ribosomal RNA". It matches the Rfam family "Bacterial small subunit ribosomal RNA", at positions 509 to 807 of the family's 1533-position model. The record is from RNAcentral.
CAGUAGCCACGGUAAUACGUAGGGUGCAAGCGUUAUCCGGAAUUAUUGGGCGUAAAGAGCUCGUAGGCGGUUUGUCGCGUCUGCUGUGAAAACUGGAGGCUCAACCUCCAGCCUGCAGUGGGUACGGGCAGACUAGAGUGCGGUAGGGGAGAUUGGAAUUCCUGGUGUAGCGGUGGAAUGCGCAGAUAUCAGGAGGAACACCGAUGGCGAAGGCAGAUCUCUGGGCCGUAACUGACGCUGAGGAGCGAAAGCGUGGGGAGCGAACAGGAUUAGAUACCCCUGUAGUCCCUGUCUCUUAUAC